Molecule: ribosomal RNA, 253 nt
Filed under: uncultured bacterium
Lineage: Bacteria
Description: partial 16S ribosomal RNA
Rfam family: Bacterial small subunit ribosomal RNA
Source: RNAcentral
UACGAAGGGGGCUAGCGUUGUUCGGAAUUACUGGGCGUAAAGGGCGCGUAGGCGGAUCAUUAAGUUAGGGGUGAAAUCCCGGGGCUCAACCUCGGAAUUGCCUUUGAGACUGGUGGUCUUGAGGACGGGAGAGGGUCGUGGAAUUCCCAGUGUAGAGGUGAAAUUCGUAGAUAUUGGGAAGAACACCGGUGGCGAAGGCGGCGACCUGGACCGUAUCUGACGCUGAGGCGCGAAAGCGUGGGGAGCAAACAGG